GUGGUCACUCAGAGACAGCCAGCCUGACAGCUGCACAAUGACUGGGAGCGUGUAGGACAAAAAGUGCGGACCGAAUUUUCACAAAUAUAGCGUUCUCUGGAGACGGAGGAGAGCUGGGAACAGAAGGACUUGAGUUGGAUGGACUGAGUGUGAUGUGAGAGACAAGAGUGAAAUCAACCAAGUUUGGUUCCAGUGAUGCCAAUGCUGGACAGUCUAUUGAGGGGGAUGGAGUGAGAGAUUAUGUCAAAGGCCGCACUCAGAUCAAGGAGAAUGAGAAUGGAGUGUAUCAGCUACUACCAGGGGUGAAAGUAAGCCAGAACGAUCCGGUACUGCGUACAGGAAAAAGAUCUGGCGGCGGUAUGCUGCUCUUCCACCGGUACGCCGCCCGACUGCCUGGUAUCGACCGUUCACUCAGCAGUACUGUCCCUGGUCCCAG
This is a long non-coding RNA of Acanthochromis polyacanthus (spiny chromis), 436 nucleotides long. RefSeq lists it as uncharacterized. The record is from RefSeq and is a predicted model, not a curated record. NCBI's taxonomy places the organism in Eukaryota, Metazoa, Chordata, Actinopteri, Pomacentridae. The transcript is spliced from 3 exons.